RNAcentral lists this ribosomal RNA (897 nucleotides) under Diplolaimelloides cf. meyli. RNAcentral describes it as "SSU rRNA". It matches the Rfam family "Eukaryotic small subunit ribosomal RNA", at positions 94 to 997 of the family's 1831-position model. The record is from RNAcentral. Lineage: Eukaryota; Metazoa; Nematoda; Chromadorea; Monhysterida; Monhysteridae.
UAGCUCAUUACAACAGCCGUUGUUUCUUGGAUCUCUUCUCUACUUGGAUAACUGUGGUAAUUCUAGAGCUAAUACAUGCAACAAAGCUCCGAUCGUAAGUGACGAGCGCACUUAUUAGACCAAAGCCAUCCGGCUUUGGCCGUACUUUGGUGACUCUGGAUAACCUAGCAGAUCGCAUGGGCUCGUCCCGGCGACAAAUCUUUCAAGUGUCUGCCUUAUCAACUUUCGAUGGUAGUUUCUGUGACUACCAUGGUUGUGACGGGUAACGGAGGAUCAGGGUCUGACUCCGGAGAGGGAGCCUGAGAAACGGCUACCACUUCUAAGGAAGGCAGCAGGCGCGCAAAUUACCCAUUCUCAGAACGAGGAGGUAGUGAAGAAAAAUACCAAGAGGAGGCUCAUUGAGUUUCCUCAUUGGAAUGAGUACAAUCUAAAUCUUUUAACGAGGAUCUAGUGGAGGGCAAGUCUGGUGCCAGCAGCCGCGGUAAUUCCAGCUCCGCAAGUGUAUUCCUAUACUGUUGCGGUUAAAAAGCUCGUAGUUGGAUCUGAGUGCUUAGCGUCUGGUGCAGUUCUGCUGUUACUGGACGCGGCACAUGAUUGGUCAAUCGGUUGCUGUUGUUGCCUUCACGGGUGAUGACAGUGGACUGUUGACAAGUUUACUUUGAACAAAUCAGAGUGCUCAAUACGGGCGUUUCGCUUGUAUGGUUGUGCAUGGAAUAAUAGAAUAGGACCUUGGUUCUAUUUUGUUGGUUUUCGGAAUUGAGGUAAUGAUUAAGAGGGACAGACGGGGGCAUUCGUAUUCCAGCGUGAGAGGUGAAAUUCUUGGAUCGUUGGAGGACGAACUACUGCGAAAGCAUUUGCCAAGAAUGUUUUCAUUAAUCAAGAACGAAAGUAUGGGUC